UUUAAAGAGAGUUUGAUCCUGGCUCAGGACGAACGCUGGCGGCGUGCCUAAUACAUGCAAGUCGAACGAACGGAGGAAGAGCUUGCUCUUCCAAAGUUAGUGGCGGACGGGUGAGUAACACGUGGGCAACCUGCCUGUAAGUUGGGGAUAACUCCGGGAAACCGGGGCUAAUACCGAAUGAUAAAGUGUGGCGCAUGCCACGCUUUUGAAAGAUGGUUUCGGCUAUCGCUUACAGAUGGGCCCGCGGUGCAUUAGCUAGUUGGUAGGGUAAUGGCCUACCAAGGCAACGAUGCAUAGCCGACCUGAGAGGGUGAUCGGCCACACUGGGACUGAGACACGGCCCAGACUCCUACGGGAGGCAGCAGUAGGGAAUCUUCCGCAAUGGACGAAAGUCUGACGGAGCAACGCCGCGUGUAUGAAGAAGGUUUUCGGAUCGUAAAGUACUGUUGUUAGAGAAGAACAAGGAUAAGAGUAACUGCUUGUCCCUUGACGGUAUCUAACCAGAAAGCCACGGCUAACUACGUGCCAGCAGCCGCGGUAAUACGUAGGUGGCAAGCGUUGUCCGGAUUUAUUGGGCGUAAAGCGCGCGCAGGCGGUCUUU
Molecule: ribosomal RNA, 601 nt
Filed under: Listeria monocytogenes
Lineage: Bacteria; Bacillati; Bacillota; Bacilli; Caryophanales; Listeriaceae
Description: bacterial SSU rRNA
Rfam family: Bacterial small subunit ribosomal RNA
Source: RNAcentral